AUUGAACGCUGGCGGCAUGCUUUACACAUGCGAGUCGAACGGUAACAGGCCGCAAGGUGCUGACGAGUGGCGAACGGGUGAGUAAUGCAUCGGAACGUGCCCAGUCGUGGGGGAUAACGCAGCGAAAGCUGUGCUAAUACCGCAUACGAUCUAUGGAUGAAAGCGGGGGACCGUAAGGCCUCGCGCGAUUGGAGCGGCCGAUGUCAGAUUAGGUAGUUGGUGGGGUAAAGGCUCACCAAGCCAACGAUCUGUAGCUGGUCUGAGAGGACGACCAGCCACACUGGGACUGAGACACGGCCCAGACUCCUACGGGAGGCAGCAGUGGGGAAUUUUGGACAAUGGGCGCAAGCCUGAUCCAGCAAUGCCGCGUGCAGGAAGAAGGCCUUCGGGUUGUAAACUGCUUUUGUACGGAACGAAGAGGUUUGGGUUAAUACCCUGGGCCGAUGACGGUACCGUAAGAAUAAGCACCGGCUAACUACGUGCCAGCCGCCGCUGUAA
Molecule: ribosomal RNA, 498 nt
Filed under: uncultured bacterium
Lineage: Bacteria
Description: partial 16S ribosomal RNA
Rfam family: Bacterial small subunit ribosomal RNA
Source: RNAcentral